This 394-nucleotide long non-coding RNA is filed under the name Mytilus galloprovincialis (Mediterranean mussel). The record is from RNAcentral. Lineage: Eukaryota; Metazoa; Mollusca; Bivalvia; Mytilida; Mytilidae.
GGUCAUAUUAAAAAGAUAUGUCAUGAACACGAUAGAACUACAUUUGUAUCAUUCACAAAAAAAAAUCAUUUGACUCCAGGGUCAACGGAAAUGAUGUGUCUAUUGCAGUGCUAACAUGGCUAAUGAUGAGUUGACAAAUCUUACUUAAAAAGAAUGCAUUAGCAUAGCAAAUGUCAAAAUUUCGCACGGGUAUAGAGACAAGGAUGUAAUGUCAUACUAAAAAGUAUUACAAUAAACUGAAUCGGCUUAAUUGAAACAUUUGUUACAAUUGUAACAUCUUCUUUUUUAUGUUAAAAUCAUUAAAAAGAUAAAACAAGCAAACUGAAUGUCGAAGUUGAAGGUCAUCGAAGGCCCAAAAUUCAUAUAGGUUUUGCCGAUUAAAAAAGAACGCCAC